This 19-nucleotide unclassified non-coding RNA is filed under the name Dictyostelium discoideum. The record is from RNAcentral. Lineage: Eukaryota; Evosea; Eumycetozoa; Dictyosteliales; Dictyosteliaceae.
AUUUGUGUGGGUUCAAUUG